GUGGGAGGGGGCUUGCCCCCGAUGGUGGAGUCAGCCUGUGUAUUUUUUAGCUGAUGCACCGCUAUCGGGGGCAAGCCCCCUCCCAC
RNAcentral lists this unclassified non-coding RNA (86 nucleotides) under Pseudomonas rhodesiae. Lineage: Bacteria; Pseudomonadati; Pseudomonadota; Gammaproteobacteria; Pseudomonadales; Pseudomonadaceae. The record is from RNAcentral.